GACGAACGCUGGCGGCGUGCUUAACACAUGCAAGUCGAACGGAAAGGCCCUGCUUUUGUGGGGUGCUCGAGUGGCGAACGGGUGAGUAACACGUGAGUAACCUGCCCUUGACUUUGGGAUAACUUCAGGAAACUGGGGCUAAUACCGGAUAGGAGCUCCUGCUGCAUGGUGGGGGUUGGAAAGUUUCGGCGGUUGGGGAUGGACGCGCGGCUUAUCAGCUUGUUGGUGGGGGAGUGGCUUACCCAGGCUUUGAAGGGUAGCCGGCCUGAGAGGGUGACCGGCCACAUUGGGACUGAGAUACGGACCAGACUGCUACGGGAGGCAGCAGUGGGGAAUAUUGCACAAUGGGCGGAAGCCUGAUGCAGCAACGCCGCGUGCGGGAUGACGGCCUUCGGGUUGUAAACAGCUUUCGCCUGUGACGAAGCGUGAGUGACGGUAAUGGGUAAAGAAGCACCGGCUAACUACGUG
This 468-nucleotide ribosomal RNA is filed under the name uncultured bacterium. RNAcentral describes it as "partial 16S ribosomal RNA". It matches the Rfam family "Bacterial small subunit ribosomal RNA", at positions 28 to 507 of the family's 1533-position model. The record is from RNAcentral.